CGAGACCUAGUUCAAUGGAUAGAGCGUCGGCCUCCGGAGCCGAAGAUAUGGGUUCGAGUCCCGUGGUCUCGA
RNAcentral lists this transfer RNA (72 nucleotides) under Microscillaceae bacterium. Its description in RNAcentral is "tRNA-Arg". It matches the Rfam family "tRNA". Rfam says of the family: Transfer RNA (tRNA) molecules are approximately 80 nucleotides in length. Their secondary structure includes four short double-helical elements and three loops (D, anti-codon, and T loops). Further hydrogen bonds mediate the characteristic L-shaped molecular structure. tRNAs have two regions of fundamental functional importance: the anti-codon, which is responsible for specific mRNA codon recognition, and the 3' end, to which the tRNAs corresponding amino acid is attached (by aminoacyl-tRNA synthetases). tRNAs cope with the degeneracy of the genetic code in two manners: having more than one tRNA (with a specific anti-codon) for a particular amino acid; and 'wobble' base-pairing, i.e. permitting non-standard base-pairing at the 3rd anti-codon position. The record is from RNAcentral. Lineage: Bacteria; Pseudomonadati; Bacteroidota; Cytophagia; Cytophagales; Microscillaceae.